RNAcentral lists this transfer RNA (72 nucleotides) under Heterocephalus glaber (naked mole-rat). It matches the Rfam family "tRNA". Rfam says of the family: Transfer RNA (tRNA) molecules are approximately 80 nucleotides in length. Lineage: Eukaryota; Metazoa; Chordata; Mammalia; Rodentia; Bathyergidae. The record is from Rfam by way of RNAcentral.
UGGGAUGUAGCUCAGUGGUAGGGCGCUUGCCUAGACUGCAUGAAGCCUUGGGUUCCAUCCCCAGCACCAUGA